Molecule: ribosomal RNA, 494 nt
Filed under: Phaeophilacris spectrum
Lineage: Eukaryota; Metazoa; Arthropoda; Insecta; Orthoptera; Phalangopsidae
Description: partial 16S ribosomal RNA
Rfam family: Bacterial large subunit ribosomal RNA
Source: RNAcentral
CUUUUUGUAUUAAUUUAAAGUCUUGCCUGCCCAAUGAAAGUAUUUGAAUGGCCGCGGUAUUUUGACCGUGCAAAGGUAGCAUAAUCAUUAGUCUUUUAAUUGAAGGCUGGAAUGAAUGGUUUGACGAAAUAGUAACUGUCUCUUUAGUAUGAAUUUUGAAUUUUACUUUUGAGUUAAAAGGCUUAAAUGAUAAAGGGGGACGAGAAGACCCUAUAGAUCUUUAUUUUUUAUUUUAUAAUGAUUUAUAUGUGGUUGUGGAUAUUAAUUAUUUAAUAAUGAAAUUUAUUGGGGUGAUGUAAGAAUAUAGGUGAACUUCUUAUUGAUUUUACUUUGAUUUUUGGGUGAUGGAUCCUUUAUUAUGGAUGUAAGAUUAAGAUACCUUAGGGAUAACAGCGUUAUUUUAUUUGAGAGUUCUUAUUGACAAUAAAGAUUGCGACCUCGAUGUUGGAUUAUGAUUACAUUUUGGUGCAGAAGCUGUAAAUGUUGGUCUGUUC